GUACACUCUGAACAUCAUGGCUUUAGUUCUUAGGUUUGAUUUUACAGAGGUAUGCCAUUACAUUUGUCAAGUUAUUUGAACAGACAUGCAUGAUUAUUGUGUGUAUAUUAUUAUUAUUAUUUUUCAGGAUGACAUGAUCAGGAGGUGGUGGUGUUCUGUUCUCCUGGACAGCUUCACUCCGCAAAUAGCUCAACCACUGAGGGGAGGAACUUCACCAUUCAAAAGACAGUGUCUUCAGGCAGAGUCCAGCAAAGCAGCUUCCCCUGGAAAUCCUCAGGGAAGUUAUUUUGUCAGCGGGUGACUCUGCAUAUUUGACACUUUCUCUGGUUUGCAGAUGGUUUAGGGAUAUGGUCACUCAAGAAGUUUUCCGGAAAGCGGCACACUUUGCCUGGCUAGACAUUGUGGCCAACUGGAAGAAUUGUCCUCCUGUCUACCAGAAUGAGUUCAGAUGAAUGUACAGCAUCAGGGAAUGCUUGCAGUGCAGAGCCCUUUUCAAGUUUAACCCACCAGGGUACAGGGAAGAGGCCGGCGUGGUGAUCUUCUGGGCUUUUGUUUACACAGGAUUUUUUUCCAAGGACUGUUUUUUUUUUUUUUUUUUGCGGCAUGAAACACCUUUGUGUGUUCAUUGAAGGGAAAUAGAGAAUGAACUGAGAUCAACUGGUUUAAUGUAUUAAUUGAUGUCAUUUAAAGUUAAACUU
This is a long non-coding RNA of Carassius carassius (crucian carp), 698 nucleotides long. RefSeq lists it as uncharacterized. The record is from RefSeq and is a predicted model, not a curated record. NCBI's taxonomy places the organism in Eukaryota, Metazoa, Chordata, Actinopteri, Cypriniformes, Cyprinidae. The transcript is spliced from 4 exons.